AUGCUAGCUUAGGCAACAUGUGUACUAAAACUGAAAAAAGUAUGGAGAAGACUAGAAUAACUGUUGCACAAGGAUGACACUCGAAUUUGUGAAGCAUUUCGUGUUUUU
Small nuclear RNA from Microtus oregoni (creeping vole), 108 nucleotides. Lineage: Eukaryota; Metazoa; Chordata; Mammalia; Rodentia; Cricetidae. The record is from RefSeq and is a predicted model, not a curated record.